RNAcentral lists this ribosomal RNA (822 nucleotides) under Stenostomum leucops. RNAcentral describes it as "eukaryotic LSU rRNA". It matches the Rfam family "Eukaryotic large subunit ribosomal RNA", at positions 41 to 647 of the family's 3401-position model. The record is from RNAcentral. Lineage: Eukaryota; Metazoa; Platyhelminthes; Stenostomidae.
UAUCAGUAAGCGGAGGAAAGAAACCAACAGGGAUUCCCAUAGUAACUGCGAGUGAAGUGGGAUCAGCCCAGCACCAAGGUCAUCGGUCCUGUGGCCGACUGAACGAUGCGGUGUUUGACAUGCCUAUUGUGCGGUGGACGGAGCGACAAAGUUCCCUUGACAGGGCUCGUGCCCCAUAGCGGGUGUGAGGCCUUUAGUUGCUCGUGAGCUGCCGUAUCUCGGGUAUGUCUAGAGUCGGGUUGUUUGGGAGUACAGCCCAAAGUAGGUGGUAAACUCCAUCUAAGGCUAAAUACGGGCACGAGUCCGAUAGCGAACAAGUACCGUGAGGGAAAGUUGAAAAGUACUUUGAAGAGAGAGUUCAAGAGCACGUGAAACUGCCUAGAGGUAAGCGGAUAGGGCCACAUGAGCCAGCUGGUCGGAUUCAGUUACGCCUGCUUGGCAUGAGUCGGCGCGCAGAUACUGCCGGGUUCAUCCUCGGUAUACUGUGGUGCUGGCCUUGCUGGGUCGUUGUAGCGUACUUUCGACUAGCGUAUGGUAGCCGCGAUCAAUUGGUCGAAGUGCCAAGUGUGCGAGGAGGUAGCCACGGGUGCUCCUUGUGGGCGCUGCUAACGUUGGUGACGACUCGUGCAUAGGACCAACUUCGGUCGAUUGUGGAGCGCUGCUGUGCACGCAUCACUCGAGGGUGCUUGCUGCUCCGUUGCGCUUGGUCUCGCUGUGCUGGACUGCAAAGCAGUGCUGUGUGACGAGGCUGGGUUGCGUGCGGGGUGUGUUAGCGAACGCGAGGUGCACGGCUGGUCAGCGGCUUGCUGGUCGCCUAUCCGU